This 212-nucleotide unclassified non-coding RNA is filed under the name Hevea brasiliensis (rubber tree). Lineage: Eukaryota; Viridiplantae; Streptophyta; Magnoliopsida; Malpighiales; Euphorbiaceae. The record is from RNAcentral.
UGCCUAACCUUUGUUGCUCUCCCAGAGACAAUUCCUCACCCCAAUUUACCUCCUGCUCAGGUGGAUAACGAUCUAAUAGAUACUCAAGAUCAACAUUUUUCAAGAGCUCCACCAUUCCACUCCGUGUGAGAGGUUCAACCUCCUGGUCCACAGUAAGAGGAUAAAUUAACUGAUCACGAAGUGUGCCUACAGCUGUAUAUGGCCUUUGCGGC